This 1526-nucleotide small RNA is filed under the name uncultured Bradyrhizobium sp. Its description in RNAcentral is "bacterial SSU rRNA". The stretch from base 1 to 470 matches the Rfam family "Bacterial small subunit ribosomal RNA", at positions 1064 to 1533 of the family's 1533-position model. Lineage: Bacteria; Pseudomonadati; Pseudomonadota; Alphaproteobacteria; Hyphomicrobiales; Nitrobacteraceae. The record is from RNAcentral.
GUCGUGAGAUGUUGGGUUAAGUCCCGCAACGAGCGCAACCCCCGUCCUUAGUUGCUACCAUUUAGUUGAGCACUCUAAGGAGACUGCCGGUGAUAAGCCGCGAGGAAGGUGGGGAUGACGUCAAGUCCUCAUGGCCCUUACGGGCUGGGCUACACACGUGCUACAAUGGCGGUGACAAUGGGACGCUAAGGGGCAACCCUUCGCAAAUCUCAAAAAGCCGUCUCAGUUCGGAUUGGGCUCUGCAACUCGAGCCCAUGAAGUUGGAAUCGCUAGUAAUCGUGGAUCAGCACGCCACGGUGAAUACGUUCCCGGGCCUUGUACACACCGCCCGUCACACCAUGGGAGUUGGUUCUACCUGAAGACGGUGCGCUAACCCGCAAGGGAGGCAGCCGGCCACGGUAGGGUCAGCGACUGGGAUGAAGUCGUAACAAGGUAGCCGUAGGGGAACCUGCGGCUGGAUCACCUCCUUUCUAAGGAUGAUCCUUCAGGCCAGCUCACGCUGUUCUAUCGGAUCGUUUUAGAAACAUCAGGGGCCAACGAUCGCCAGAUCGUUGAGUUCCAUUGGCGGGAUUUCGCCGUCUUCGUUUCUCUUUCUUCGCGGACGAACACGCGCCAGGGGCUGCGCUUGUGCUGACCAUCCGGCGUGAAGCCGGCUGCGCGAGCAAGUUUCCGUUUCCUUUUCAGGAAAAGCGUUAGGGGCUUGUAGCUCAGUUGGUUAGAGCGCGCGCUUGAUAAGCGUGAGGUCGGAAGUUCAAGUCUUCCCAGGCCCACACGCUUCGCCGUGGCUACGCGUGGCGCAGCCACGCAAGACAAUGCAGUGAAGCGUGCCCGGCAUAGCCCGAAGGGCGACGACGGGCGCCGUCUCAGGAAAUGGGGCCAUAGCUCAGCUGGGAGAGCGCGUGCUUUGCAAGCAUGAGGUCGUCGGUUCGAUCCCGUCUGGCUCCACCACGCUUCGCCUUCGGCUAUGCGUGGCGCAGCCGAGCAUGGCCGAUCGAAGCGUGCCCGGCGAAGCUCGAAAGAGCGACGACGGGCCGACUAUCGAGCCAAAACAAUCGUCCGCGAAACAUCACUUCGCAUGCGCUGUCCUAACGGAUGCGCCUGCGGGAUUUCUGACAUCGUAAAGAGGAGAUUGAUCCGAGUUUGGGAUCUGCGAAGCGAUUCGCAUAUCGCAAUCACUAUCUCCGGGACGUUUCGGCGCUCGUUCAUCGCGAGAUGAGCGAGUUGUAAAUGUCCUUGUUGGUGAAGCUUGACCGCCUCAUCAUCGGGUUGAUCUUACGAAGCAAGCUGGUCUUUCUAAUCAGUGUCCAGCCGCAUGCAGCAUUCAUCGAGGGUGCGCGCCUUUGAAGUUUCGACUUCAAGGCAAGUGUGCGGACUACAUUCUGCCGAGUGUGUGGACAUUGAUAAUGAGAGCAAUCAAGUGCCUUAAGGGUGUUCGGUGGAUGCCUAGGCGCGAGAAGGCGAUGAAGGACGUGGCUAGCUGCGAUAAGCUUCGGGGAGCCGCUAAGCAGGCUUUGAUCCGGAGAUUU